GACGACCGGAGAAAUGCCUUCUCAAGUUCGCCACACGAAAUCCUCUCCAUUGAUUUGAAGUAUUUAUCCUUCAACCUCUUCUUUUGUAGAACUCGGUCCAUUGCGGCGUCAUCUGGAAGAGGACCACACAUUAAACCCGUGACAAGAGCAUACUCUUGCAGGUCAAACCUGGCUAAGUGGCCUUGCACUUUAAACCAUAUUUCGCUGGCCUUUUCAGUUCGUAUGCAGCGAAAAACGAGUUGCUGGAUUAGUUGGGCUGAGAAUUGGAGAUCUCGAACCUCGGAUAAGAACCCUAGGCAUGAGUUACGGAAGUCCGUACGUUGUCGCUCAUCAAAAUGCUCCAGGACUGUCUUCAUGUACCGUAGAUUGCUUCGCUGUGAGAUGUGGGCCCUCAGC
This 396-nucleotide long non-coding RNA is filed under the name Olea europaea (common olive). Its description in RNAcentral is "long non-coding RNA (OEUR_LNC008348)". Lineage: Eukaryota; Viridiplantae; Streptophyta; Magnoliopsida; Lamiales; Oleaceae. The record is from RNAcentral.